UGAUCGAGUCUGUCGGCGAUCUAGAUCAA
RNAcentral lists this small RNA (29 nucleotides) under Bombyx mori (domestic silkworm). Its description in RNAcentral is "piRNA piR-bmo-2156360". The record is from RNAcentral. Lineage: Eukaryota; Metazoa; Arthropoda; Insecta; Lepidoptera; Bombycidae.